GUUCCCACGAGCGGCCAGUUCCUAAAUGCACGGGAGGCCGGGAGGGAUCCGUCGCUAAGCGGUUUCCUCACGCGGCCUAACAGAAACGCUGCGGGACAGACAGUGCCCGGGCAGAGUGGACACAGCAGAAUGGAAUUCAGCCCGGAUCUCCAGGGACACAGGAGUCAUCAUGACAGCGACGAGUUCUGGAAGGAAAGGCCUCCGAGCGUUAGCCAUCUGAGAAACUGGGGCCUGCUCUAGUCCUGCAUCAUUUGGGUUCUUGCCGGGACCAGAUGGACAGGGUGCCACACCCAGCUGGGCUCAAGGGAUUUAAGAUUAUUCCGGGCACUGUGCAACCAGUCAGUGAAAACCUGAUGGUUAGGAGUUCCAUGACGUGCACCUCAGAGCACCAGGAGCCACCAGGAUUACUCAAGAGUUUGUGGGAAUAAUAAUUUUUAAAAAAGUUUUUAAAGCUGAAGAUCAAUGUAAAACUAAUACGUUCACAACCGGCAGUUGUUUGGAGUUCAAGUGAUUCUAAGGACUAUAUAUUAAUUAAAAUGACAGUA
This is a long non-coding RNA of Sorex fumeus (smoky shrew), 545 nucleotides long. RefSeq lists it as uncharacterized. The record is from RefSeq and is a predicted model, not a curated record. NCBI's taxonomy places the organism in Eukaryota, Metazoa, Chordata, Mammalia, Eulipotyphla, Soricidae. The transcript has 3 exons.